Molecule: long non-coding RNA, 337 nt
Filed under: Lathyrus oleraceus (garden pea)
Lineage: Eukaryota; Viridiplantae; Streptophyta; Magnoliopsida; Fabales; Fabaceae
Description: Pisum sativum (pea) long non-coding RNA (PSAT_LNC004053)
Source: RNAcentral
ACUUUUUCAACUGGGUGGAAACCAAGUACAUGACCCUCUGGAACACCAUCAUGAAUAUUGAAAAAUUUGAUGUUAUUUGGGAUGUUUGGUUUUGUAAAAAGAGGUUGAUUAGAUUGUUGGGUGCCAAUGAAUGAGAAAAAUGUGUUUGGGGAAGCAUGUGCUAGUUUGAGGAACCAUCAUGAAUAUUGAAAAAUUUGAUGUUAUUUGGGAUGUUUGGUUUUGUAAAAAGAGGUUGAUUAGAUUGUUGGGUGCCAAUGAAUGAGAAAAAUGUGUUUGGGGAAGCAUGUGCUAGUUUGAGGAUAAGGUUUAAGAGUGGAAUUGGAUGGCUACCAAAGGG